GACGAACGCUGGCGGCGUGCUUAACACAUGCAAGUCGAGCGGUAAGGCCCCUUCGGGGGUACACGAGCGGCGAACGGGUGAGUAACACGUGAGCAAUCUGCCCAUCACAUCGGGAUAACUCCGGGAAACCGAAGCUAAUACCGAAUACGACCACCUCCGGCAUCGGAUGGUGGUGGAAAGUUCCGGCGGUGAUGGAUGAGCUCGCGGCCUAUCGGCUUGUUGGUGGGGUAACGGCCCACCAAGGCUUCGACGGGUAGCCGGCCUGAGAGGGUGACCGGCCACACUGGGACUGAGACACGGCCCAGACUCCUACGGGAGGCAGCAGUGGGGAAUAUUGGACAAUGGGCGAAAGCCUGAUCCAGCAACGCCGCGUAAGGGAUGACGGCCUUCGGGUUGUAAACCUCUUUCAGCAGGGACGAAGCGCAAGUGACGGUACCUGCAGAAGAAGCACCGGCCAACUACGUG
Molecule: ribosomal RNA, 465 nt
Filed under: uncultured bacterium
Lineage: Bacteria
Description: partial 16S ribosomal RNA
Rfam family: Bacterial small subunit ribosomal RNA
Source: RNAcentral